CUCGAUCAACUUAAAUAUAAAAUUUUUAAUUGAAGUUUUAUAUAUCCCAUAUAGUUUCCAAUAGAUAUAAAUAAGAUCUAUUAUUUAGAUCUAAAGAUAAUAAUUAAAAUUGUUAAUGAUUCUAUCAAGAUAAAUACUCCGUGAUCUCAAAAUAAAAUUAAUUUUUUUCAUUAGAAAUAGAUUUAUUUACAAUAUUCCCAAAUAUACUUUCCUCCCAUAUGUCAAUUUAUAUAUGAUCUAUAUAUUCCAGUAUAAACAUUAAAAAAUAUAUCAAUCAAACAUCAUAAAAGAUCUUCUUAGUUCAACCUGAAAUAAUAUUUUAUGAAUAAAUUUUUAUCUUGCCACUAAAUAAUUAAUUUCAAAAUUAAGAGCAACAUUAUAAUAUUCUUUCAUAUUAAAAUUGAGCUUGCAAUUCAUUUAAACUAUUAAUGAUCAAAUUAAUAAUUAUAAUACAAAUAAAUUUUUAUGAUUAAUCUUCUUGUCAUUACUUGAGAUCAAAAUCCAACUAGUCAUAGCAUGAUCAAUGAAUUGUCUAUCAUAUAUUAAGCCCUCUGAAUCAUUAUUCCUG
RNAcentral lists this long non-coding RNA (568 nucleotides) under Elaeis guineensis (African oil palm). Its description in RNAcentral is "long non-coding RNA (EGUI_LNC012964)". The record is from RNAcentral. Lineage: Eukaryota; Viridiplantae; Streptophyta; Magnoliopsida; Arecales; Arecaceae.